AUGAGCUCUGUGCCGUGACGUGUCUUCCAGCGUAUGAAAGCCAUGGCUCAAGCGAAGAGCGUGUUAGAUGAUAUCAAAAAGGAACUAGAAUGCCCGGUGUGCCAAGAGCAAUUCAGUGGGAGCAAUGAGCCGAAAAUUCUAAAAUGUCAACACACGUUUUGUAAAUCCUGUCUUAACGGCUGGCUACGACAGCAUGGCGGAGGAAGAUUGAGCUGCCCGAAAUGUCGAGUGAUUACCGAAUGUUCCACCAACAACAUUGAUUGCUUGCCAACCAACCUUGCUUGUAAAAAUCUAGGAGAUAUCUUAAAAACUCACAGUGGCUGGGAUAUCAGAUCACUACAGGAGAAUUUAUGCAAGUGCCAUAGGAAAAGUCUUGAAUAUUACUGCGAACAUUGCCAGAUUUGCAUAUGCUCUGACUGCGUCAUUGUCGAACAUCGGGAUUCGAACAAUCACAAGAUCUUGUCUGUAGAAGAAGGAGCGAAGAUACAGGCAGAAAUUAUCACAGAAGAACUGAGAUCUGUUGAAGCGAACACUUCGCAUUUGAUGAGCGAUAUUGCUACUUUAGUGGAAAGAAGAGAGAAAUUUAACACUGGUAUAGAUCAGGCGACGAUAGAGGUCCGUAACGUGGCUGAAAGGUGCAUAUAUUUGAUUCACCGACAUGAAGCAAGCGUGACGGAGCAGCUGGCGAGGGAGAGAUCGCUUAGCGAUGAUGCUAUUUCCCAGGAGUUGUUGAAGCUGACUGAGAAACUGGAGAAAAUGACUAGCGCUGCUAUUCGUGGUAGAGCGAUUCUUGAAAACCAUAACAUAGACGAAAUGAUAAAUAUAAAACAAGUUCUCGAUGAAUUGAUCUCAGAGAAAGUCACACCAGCGCUUAAAUAUCCAGAUUUAAAAUACACCUCAUAUGCACUCCCUCGAAAUUUCACCACAGGGAAGCUGUUAAUAACUCGCACGGAACCUUCUUUGAGUGUCGCCACUGGUGAAGGCCUGACAAAGGGUAAACGGUCAGAAGAAGCUAAUUUUACCGUGACAACAAAGGAUGCAAAGGGUCAGACAACUUACAGCGAAAUGGACAAGGUCAUUGUUGAGGUUACUUCUGUACGGAAGGGAAUAAAAAACAUUUCAGUUGUGGUGAAGGACUUGAAAGACGGACGUUAUUCUGUUUCUUACACACCGAAUUCUUUUGGCGAAUUCAGGGUUUCAAUCAAAGUACGAGAUGAACCAAUUCGCGAGAGUCCCUUUAAACUGUUCAUUCACAACAACCCGAAGCAAGACUUCCUAGACUGGGCUUCUAAAUUUCAUGGCCCAGAGUUAUCAAAUCUGCAGUUAAAAGAAACUCAAGACGCAGAGAGAGGGUUGAGCCAACCCCAUACCUUUAAAAACAGUACCUUUACUGGCAGACCCCUAUAUCAAAGAAAAUCUUUCAGAUCAGAGGAAAAGAGAAGAGCUGCACUGGGUGAGUUUCAAAAUCAAGACACUCAUCAAAACAACAGGAGACAGCGAGACGACGCUUCAAGAGAACCUCCCUCUCCUCAAGAGCCUACCUCUGUGACAUCAGCCCAGUAUGGAUCACCCAUUCCCGAGCAAUGCACAAUCGAAGUAACCGGUUUGCCAGAAGAUGCAUCUGAGGAUUUGGUGACAAUCUACUUCGAAAACACCAGACGUUCUAAGGGGGGUCCUGUGUCUUCCGUAGUCAUGACACCCGAACUUCGGAAGUGCCUGGUCACCUUUGAAUCUCCUGAUGAUGCAGAGCGGACGAUAAGUUAUUCAUCUCAUGUUUUGAGCGGAGCAAGUAUACAAGUCUCACUGUUUGAAGAGGAGGAGGAAAGUGCCGUCGAUUCCGGUGAAAACGGAGAAGACGAAGAGGAGGAAGACGGCAUCACCAUUAUUGUCAGCGGCAUCAUGCCCUCCACCUCAGAGGAUGCAGUGAUCUUCUACUUUGAGAAUUCUAGACGAUCAGGAGGAGGCGAUGUCUCCGAGAUCCAUUUCAACGAAAAAGGGGAAGCGAUCAUAACUUUUUCUGAGGUUAAAGACCUGCAGCGCCUUCUCGAGGAGUCACACAAAAUUUACGGCCAAAUGAUAACAGUGGUAAGACAGCCUCCUUCGAAAAAAGUGCCGCUUGAUCCAUUAAGAGUUCAUGUUCAAGGAAUCAGCGAAACGACCACCAUAGAUUGUUUGACCUGUUAUCUGGAAAAGUUUGUUGAUGUUGAGGUUGAAAAUGUGUAUCUUGGUGCAAAGAAUAAUGCCCUGGCAGUUUUUGAAAGUGAACCAGACUUUGAAUCACUCUUGCAUAAAGUUAACAAAGAUAAAAAAGGCUUGGAGGGAAAGAAACCGCGCCUGGAAAGAGUAGCAGUCUGUUCAUGUAUUCUGGUCACGGGACUGAAGAAAGAGUCAACCGAUCACACCAUUGAGCUUUAUUUUGACAAUGAAAAACGAAGUGGUGGGAAGGAUGUCUACAGAGUGGAAAGGAUUAGGAAAGACCAGGCCUUAGUCUAUUUCGAGGAUCAUACAAGAGUUCAUGAUGUCAUUGCAAGAAGCCAGAGACAGGCCAACGCCCUUGACGGCGCUAUCUUGGAAGUGACGCCGUACUACCCUUUCCUGGGAAACGGAGAUGACGUUCAAUCUAGAAGUUGAUACCAUGAAUACAUUAAUCCCGGUUUAUCCCAAGGUAAACUGCUACUUGAGGAGCGCAGAGUGGCUGAAUUCCUACAUGGCUCGAUAGUCACGAUUUCACCCUCGGGAAGGGACCCUUCAUCAGAAGAACGAACUGAGAAGUUCAAGAGUUUCCUGCCUAUCCCUAGGAAGUGUGAUGUUUCUGUUCCUCCCGAAAUAUUUGUCGAGAUCUCAAAGCCCUGGCAAGAACUAACUUUCGAGAAAGAAAAAGCAAAUGGUCAGGUAUCGUAUGACCAUAGAAGGUUGGGCUUCAAAACAUUUUAGAACACUUAGAACACAAAGCGCAAAAGCUGCAAUACUUGAAUCUUAAAGUUGAGGACAACUCAGAACUGGUGAGGGAAAGAAGGUUACCGCAAUACUGCGUCGUUGGCCUUUUAAAGGACUGGGCACACCAGAAGUAAAGAUUGCGUCG
This 3082-nucleotide unclassified non-coding RNA is filed under the name Stylophora pistillata. Its description in RNAcentral is "uncharacterized LOC111327793, transcript variant X1". The record is from RNAcentral. Lineage: Eukaryota; Metazoa; Cnidaria; Anthozoa; Scleractinia; Pocilloporidae.